UCUGCACAACACAUAAUAAAUUUAAGAUAAUCCAUGGACCAUCUCAAUCCAGCAACAAAAGCAUACCCAUAAGCUCACCAACAAGUCAUCAAGUAGAUCAUUAUAUAAGCAAAACCAUUUCUAUUUUGCAGUACAAACUCAACCAGGAGUUCAAUAGAGCAUCAAGAUAUCUUUACCAGAUCCUCUAGAAUAGACAUAUAUAAUCACAGUAAUUAUCAGCCAACACAAACUUGUCAAGGACCAUGUAGGUACAUGAUAAGAUCAUCAUCGGAUAAUAUAAAUCAUUUCCAAGACAACAACCAGCUCAUAUACAUGUGGAAACAAUCCACCACAUCCCUUAAAUGAAAAUACAACUAGGAAUUAUCAGCAUAGCAAAUGGGUCUCCACCGUAGGCAAACAACAAGAUAACUUUCAACCCUGAAUGAAAAGUUCAGUUAACUCUUCAAUGGAAUUCAGUAACACUAUAAAUGCAGAACAUUAUAUUCAGUUCAUGGAACCAGUAUUGCUACACAUAAAUGGUAAUCCAUGACAACAGCUAUACGCACCACACAUACACACAUGCCAUUGGUUCAUAGCCAUAGAGUGACAGAGAAAGAGAGGUUUAGCUCACAGUGCCGUACAUGAAGUAGCGAGGUAGGCGACGCCAGGGUUGCGUCCACGGCACCAUCAAGCCGGGGUUGCGUCCAUGGCACCGUCCCGCCGGCGUCGAGGUCGCAGCUGAAAUAGGCAUCAAAGCAGCAUUACUGCAGAACCCCAUCACCACCAUAGCAGCAAUUACCACCACAAAACCAUACAACACCGAGAUGACAAGAUUGAGCUGGGGCUCGUGGUAGACACUAAGGCCAUCGAGAGGGUCAUCCAGAGCUCGCCGAGAAAGUGCAGAACCAGACACGCGGGCGCGCGGCAUCGCGCUAGCAACCAAGUCAAAUCCAUAGCUAGGGCUAGCCAGGAGCGUGGGAGCGGCUGGCGGCGUCACGAAAAUGAGGAGAGAGCGGAGGUCGACCGUGUCGG
Non-coding RNA from Lolium perenne, 1011 nucleotides. Lineage: Eukaryota; Viridiplantae; Streptophyta; Magnoliopsida; Poales; Poaceae. The record is from RefSeq and is a predicted model, not a curated record.